GACGAAGGUGGCAAGCGUUGUUCGGAUUCACUGGGCGUAAAGGGCGCGUAGGCGGUUCCGAAAGUGGCAUGUGAAAUCCCCCGGCUCAACCGGGGAAGUGCGUGCCAAACUUCGGUGCUAGAGGGCGGUAGGGGGGACUGGAACUCUCGGUGGAGCGGUGAAAUGCGUAGAUAUCGAGAGGAACACCGGUGGCGAAGGCGAGUCCCUGGUCCGCAUCUGACGCUGAGGCGCGAAAGCGUGGGUAGCAAACAGG
RNAcentral lists this ribosomal RNA (253 nucleotides) under uncultured bacterium. Its description in RNAcentral is "partial 16S ribosomal RNA". It matches the Rfam family "Bacterial small subunit ribosomal RNA", at positions 524 to 776 of the family's 1533-position model. The record is from RNAcentral.